AUGCUAGUCGAGCGAACAGAAGGGAGCUUGCUCCCGGAUGUUAGCGGCGGACGGGUGAGUAACACGUGGGUAACCUGCCUGUAAGACUGGGAUAACUCCGGGAAACCGGAGCUAAUACCGGAUAGUUCCUUGAACCGCAUGGUUCAAGGAUGAAAGACGGUUUCGGCUGUCACUUACAGAUGGACCCGCGGCGCAUUAUCUAGUUGGUGGGGUAAUGGCUCACCAAGGCGACGAUGCGUAGCCCACCUGAGAGGGUGAUCGGCCACACUGGGACUGAGACACGGCCCAGACUCCUACGGGAGGCCGCAGUAGGGAAUCUUCCGCAAUGGACGAAAGUCUGACAGAGCCACGCCGCGUGAGUGAUGAAGGUUUUCGGAUCGUAAAGCUCUGUUGUUAGGGAAGAACAAGUGCGAGAGUAACUGCUCGCACCUUUACGGUACCUAACCAGAAAGCCACGGCUAACUACGUGCCAGCAGCCGCGGUAAUACGUAGGUGGCAAGCGUUGUCCGGAAUUAUUGGGCGUAAAGGGCUCGCAGGCGGUUUCUUAAGUCUGAUGUGAAAGCCCCCGGCUCAACCGGGGAGGGUCAUUGGAAACUGGGAAACUUGAGUGCAGAAGAAGAGAGUGGAAUUCCACGUGUAGCGGUGAAAUGCGUAGAGAUGUGGAGGAACACCAGUGGCGAAGGCGACUCUCUGGUCUGUAACUGACGCUGAGGAGCGAAAGCGUGGGGAGCGAACAGGAUUAAAUACCCCG
Molecule: ribosomal RNA, 751 nt
Filed under: Bacillus zhangzhouensis
Lineage: Bacteria; Bacillati; Bacillota; Bacilli; Caryophanales; Bacillaceae
Description: bacterial SSU rRNA
Rfam family: Bacterial small subunit ribosomal RNA
Source: RNAcentral